ACUGCUAACUUGUUCUGAGCAGUCAGCUCCGCUCUCUGAAUUGUGAGGCUGGCUGGGACAUGCUGGGGAGGACAACGUCAAGUCCACCAGGAGAACACUGCUGGCUUUUGCUAAUGCACAGAACUUUGUGGAGAAGCACAUGGACGAAACCUGCAGAGAUUUGAGUGUUGUCUUCCUUCCUGGUUUCCAUCCUGGGACCUGUGGCACGACAGUGGAGACGAUAAGAAACAAUGAAUCUCAAUACUGUGUUUAAGAACAUCAGUGCAGAGCCAUGAAAAGAACCAAGGCUGCUGGCUCAGAACGUCUGGCUGGGUCCGUCAGACCACGUCUCAUGAGAUGACAACACUUUCGCUUUUAAGAGAUCAAUGUUGUAAUAAUGACAAUGUUCUCUUGUCUAAUCCCAUAGGUCUUGUAUAUUUCAAAUGCUUAUCUGCCUAAUUAUAGCAACUGAACAAUGUAAUCAACUAUCCUCUCUUUCCCCAGGUGAAUAAAUCUUUUUUUGCCCA
This is a long non-coding RNA of Otolemur garnettii (small-eared galago), 506 nucleotides long. RefSeq lists it as uncharacterized. Lineage: Eukaryota; Metazoa; Chordata; Mammalia; Primates; Galagidae. The transcript is spliced from 3 exons. The record is from RefSeq and is a predicted model, not a curated record.